RNAcentral lists this ribosomal RNA (484 nucleotides) under uncultured bacterium. RNAcentral's name for it is "partial 16S ribosomal RNA". It matches the Rfam family "Bacterial small subunit ribosomal RNA", at positions 30 to 507 of the family's 1533-position model. The record is from RNAcentral.
AUUGAACGCUGGCGGCAGGCCUAACACAUGCAAGUCGAGCGGAUGAAGGGAGCUUGCUCCUGGAUUCAGCGGCGGACGGGUGAGUAAUGCCUAGGAAUCUGCCUGGUAGUGGGGGAUAACGUCCGGAAACGGGCGCUAAUACCGCAUACGUCCUGAGGGAGAAAGUGGGGGAUCUUCGGACCUCACGCUAUCAGAUGAGCCUAGGUCGGAUUAGCUAGUUGGUGGGGUAAAGGCCUACCAAGGCGACGAUCCGUAACUGGUCUGAGAGGAUGAUCAGUCACACUGGAACUGAGACACGGUCCAGACUCCUACGGGAGGCAGCAGUGGGGAAUAUUGGACAAUGGGCGAAAGCCUGCUCCAGCCAUGCCGCGUGUGUGAAGAAGGUCUUCGGAUUGUAAAGCACUUUAAGUUGGGAGGAAGGGCAGUAAGUUAAUACCUUGCUGUUUUGACGGUACCAACAGAAUAAGCACCGGCUAACUUCGUG